RNAcentral lists this ribosomal RNA (850 nucleotides) under Streptomyces sp. RNAcentral's name for it is "bacterial SSU rRNA". It matches the Rfam family "Bacterial small subunit ribosomal RNA", at positions 84 to 963 of the family's 1533-position model. Lineage: Bacteria; Bacillati; Actinomycetota; Actinomycetes; Kitasatosporales; Streptomycetaceae. The record is from RNAcentral.
UACUGAGGUUAGUGGCGAACGGGUGAGUAACACGUGGGCAAUCUGCCCUUCACUCUGGGACAAGCCCUGGAAACGGGGUCUAAUACCGGAUAAUACUUUCCUCCGCAUGGGGGAGGGUUGAAAGCUCCGGCGGUGAAGGAUGAGCCCGCGGCCUAUCAGCUUGUUGGUGGGGUGAUGGCCUACCAAGGCGACGACGGGUAGCCGGCCUGAGAGGGCGACCGGCCACACUGGGACUGAGACACGGCCCAGACUCCUACGGGAGGCAGCAGUGGGGAAUAUUGCACAAUGGGCGAAAGCCUGAUGCAGCGACGCCGCGUGAGGGAUGACGGCCUUCGGGUUGUAAACCUCUUUCAGCAGGGAAGAAGCGCAAGUGACGGUACCUGCAGAAGAAGCACCGGCUAACUACGUGCCAGCAGCCGCGGUAAUACGUAGGGUGCGAGCGUUGUCCGGAAUUAUUGGGCGUAAAGAGCUCGUAGGCGGCUUGUCACGUCGGAUGUGAAAGCCCGGGGCUUAACCCCGGGUCUGCAUUCGAUACGGGCAGGCUAGAGUGUGGUAGGGGAGAUCGGAAUUCCUGGUGUAGCGGUGAAAUGCGCAGAUAUCACGAGGAACACCGGUGGCGAAGGCGGAUCUCUGGGCCAUUACUGACGCUGAGGAGCGAAAGCGUGGGGAGCGAACAGGAUUAGAUACCCUGGUAGUCCACGCCGUAAACGUUGGGAACUAGUGUUGGCGACAUUCCACGUCGUCGUGCGCAGCUAACGCAUUAAGUCCCCGCUGGGGAGUACCGCGCAGCUUAACUCAAGAUGGACCGGGGCCGCACAGCAGCGAGCAUGUGCCUAUUCGACGCAACGCG